RNAcentral lists this ribosomal RNA (465 nucleotides) under uncultured bacterium. Its description in RNAcentral is "partial 16S ribosomal RNA". It matches the Rfam family "Bacterial small subunit ribosomal RNA", at positions 338 to 795 of the family's 1533-position model. The record is from RNAcentral.
CCUACGGGUGGCUGCAGUGGGGAAUAUUGCGCAAUGGGCGAAAGCCUGACGCAGCGACGCCGCGUGAAUGACGAAGGCCUUCGGGUCGUAAAGCUCUUUCGACAGGGAAGAAAAUGCAUACAAGUAACUGGGUAUGUAUUGACGGUACCUGUAUAAGCAGCCCCGGCUAACUCCGUGCCAGCAGCCGCGGUAAUACGGAGGGGGCGAGCGUUGUUCGGAGUGACUGGGCGUAAAGAGCACGUAGGCGGUGUUGUAAGUCAUUAGUCAAAGACUAGAGCUCAACUUUAGUAAGGCUAGUGAUACUGUAAGACUAGAGUAUCAGAGAGGAUGGCAGAAUUCCUGGUGUAGCGGUGAAAUGCGUAGAUAUCAGGAGGAAUACCGUUAGCGAAGGCGGCAAUCUGGCUGGAAACUGACGCUGAGGUGCGAAAGCGUGGGUAGCAAACAGGAUUAGAUACCCCAGUAGUC